CCGUAGUCAAAAGGGAAACAGCCCAGACCGCCAGUUAAGGUCCCCAAAUUUAUGCUAAGUGGGAAAGGAUGUGGAAUUGUUUAAACAACUAGGAGGUUGGCUUAGAAGCAGCCAUCCUUUAAAGAGUGCGUAAUAGCUCACUAGUCGAAUGAUUCUGCGCCGAAAAUGUAUCGGGGCUAAGCAUAAUACCGAAACUGCGGAAUUAGUUUAUACUAAUUGGUAGGGGAGCGUACUUUGUCAGAGAAGAUAGAUCGAAAGGACUAUUGGAGGUAAAGCAGUGAGUAUGCCGGUGUGAGUAACGAAAAGAUAGGUGAGAAUCCUAUCCGUCGAAAGCCUAAGGUUUCCAGGGGAAGGGUCGUCCUCCCUGGGUUAGUCGGGUCCUAAGGUGAGGCCGAAAGGCGUAGCUGAUGGACAUCAGGUUGAUAUUCCUGGACCACCUUGUAUAUCUGAUGGAAUGACGAAGAAGGCUAGCCACAGCUGAUUAGUGGAUUUCAGUUGAAGCACAAAGGCGGGCAUAUAGGCAAAUCCGUAUGCUAUUAAACGUUGAAGUGUGAGAAUGUGUGGUGAAGCCAAGCUUCCAAGAAAAGUUUCUAAAGUAAGUGCAAGGUGCCCGUACCGCAAACGGACACACGUAGGCGAGGAGAGAAUCCAAAGACGCGCGAGAUAACUCUUGUUAAGGAACUCUGCAAAAUUACCCCGUAACUUCGGAAUAAGGGGGGCUCUUAGAAAUAAGAGUCGCAGAUAAUAGGCCCAAGCGACUGUUUACCAAAAACAUAGGUCUCUGCUAAACCGCAAGGUGAAGUAUAGGGGCUGACGCCUGCCCAGUGCUGGAAGGUUAAGAGGAGAUGUUAGGCGCAAGCCGAAGCUUUGAAUUGAAGCCCCAGUAAACGGCGGCCGUAACUAUAACGGUCCUAAGGUAGCGAAAUUCCUUGUCGGGUAAGUUCCGACCCGCACGAAAGGCGUAACGAUUUGGGCGCUGUCUCAACUCGAGACUCGGUGAAAUCAUACUACCUGUGAAGAUGCAGGUUACCCGCGACUAGACGGAAAGACCCCAUGGAGCUUCACUGCAGUUUGAUAUUGAUAUUGGGUAUUGGAUGUACAGGAUAGGUGGGAGGCUGAGAAGUCGGGACGUCAGUUUCGAUGGAGCCACCGUUGGGAUACCACCCUUCUAAUAUUUAGUAUCUAACUAGUGAUCACAAUCAGGUCAUAGGACAGUGUCAGAUGGGCAGUUUGACUGGGGCGGUCGCCUC
RNAcentral lists this ribosomal RNA (1250 nucleotides) under human gut metagenome. RNAcentral's name for it is "bacterial LSU rRNA". It matches the Rfam family "Bacterial large subunit ribosomal RNA", at positions 1005 to 2289 of the family's 2925-position model. The record is from RNAcentral.